This 459-nucleotide ribosomal RNA is filed under the name uncultured bacterium. Its description in RNAcentral is "partial 16S ribosomal RNA". It matches the Rfam family "Bacterial small subunit ribosomal RNA", at positions 338 to 795 of the family's 1533-position model. The record is from RNAcentral.
CCUACGGGAGGCAGCAGUGAGGAAUAUUGGUCAAUGGGCGGGAGCCUGAACCAGCCAAGCCGCGUGAGGGAAGAAGGUACAGCGUAUCGUAAACCUCUUUUGUCAGGGAACAAAGGCGGGGACUAGUCCCCGGAUGCGGGUACCUGAAGAAAAAGCAUCGGCUAACUCCGUGCCAGCAGCCGCGGUAAUACGGAGGAUGCGAGCGUUAUCCGGAUUUAUUGGGUUUAAAGGGUGCGAAGGCGGCCUGUAAGGUCAGCGGUAAAAGCCCGGGGGUCAACCCCGGCGAGCCGUGCAAACUGGCGUGCUUGAGUUGGAGAGAAGUAGGCGGAAUGCGUGGUGUAGCGGUGAAAUGCUUAGAUAUCGCGAAGAACCCCGAUUGCGAAGGCAGCGUACCGGAGCCGAACUGACGCUGAGGCACGAAAGCGUGGGUAUCGAACAGGAUUAGAUACCCGGGUAGUC